This 407-nucleotide ribosomal RNA is filed under the name uncultured bacterium. RNAcentral describes it as "partial 16S ribosomal RNA". It matches the Rfam family "Bacterial small subunit ribosomal RNA", at positions 28 to 526 of the family's 1533-position model. The record is from RNAcentral.
GACGAACGCUGGCGGCGUGCCUAAUACAUGCAAGUAGGACGCAGUUGCGAACGGGUGAGUAACGCGUAGGUAACUGCCUAUUAGAGGGGGAUAACUAUUGGAAACGAUAGCUAAUACCGCAUACUAGUAGAUGGACCUGCGUUGUAUUAGCUAGUAGGUAGGGUAAUGGCCUACCUAUGCGACGAUACAUAGCCAAGCUGAGGUGGUGGUUGGCCACACGUGGAAUGAGACACGGCCCAGACUCCUACGGGAGGCAGCAGUAGGGAAUCUUCGGCAAUGGGGGGAACCCUGACCGAGCAACGCCGCGUGAGUGAAGAAGGUUUUCGGAUCGUAAAGCUCUGUUGUUAAGGAAGCGGUACUUAACCAGAAAGGGACGGCUAACUACGUGCCAGCCGCCGCGGUAAUAC